Molecule: transfer RNA, 73 nt
Filed under: Paramuricea clavata
Lineage: Eukaryota; Metazoa; Cnidaria; Anthozoa; Malacalcyonacea; Plexauridae
Rfam family: tRNA
About the family: Transfer RNA (tRNA) molecules are approximately 80 nucleotides in length. Their secondary structure includes four short double-helical elements and three loops (D, anti-codon, and T loops). Further hydrogen bonds mediate the characteristic L-shaped molecular structure. tRNAs have two regions of fundamental functional importance: the anti-codon, which is responsible for specific mRNA codon recognition, and the 3' end, to which the tRNAs corresponding amino acid is attached (by aminoacyl-tRNA synthetases). tRNAs cope with the degeneracy of the genetic code in two manners: having more than one tRNA (with a specific anti-codon) for a particular amino acid; and 'wobble' base-pairing, i.e. permitting non-standard base-pairing at the 3rd anti-codon position.
Source: Rfam by way of RNAcentral
GACCGCGUAGCUCAGUUGGAAGAGCAUUGGACUAGUAUUCCAAAGGUCGUAGGUUCGAAUCCUACCGUGGCCG